This is a long non-coding RNA of Heterocephalus glaber (naked mole-rat), 1748 nucleotides long. The record is from Ensembl. NCBI's taxonomy places the organism in Eukaryota, Metazoa, Chordata, Mammalia, Rodentia, Bathyergidae.
UAAAAUCCUUUGCUAAAUGUCUUCAAAUUGUGUAUUUAUUCACAAGAUGGUUCAUAAGUUAGAUUCUUUCAUCUGUUUUUUUUUUUUCCUGGUACUGGGGAUCGAACUCGGGACCUUGCCCAAUUUCAAGACAGGAGGUGGAACCACUGAGCUAAACCCUCGACUCCUCUCAUCUGUUAACGAAGCAAAAGGAGAGCUUAUCUUUGGUUCUGCUUUUGACCAUCUUACAGCCCCAUAAACUCUAUGCAUCUGUAUCAGCCCAGUCUUGGAACUCACUUUCUCCCUUUUUGUCAUCAACUCCCCCCACCCCAAAUGAAGAAGAUGAAGAAGAAGAAGAAAAAGAAAAACGACUGCUGUGCAGAACGUUCCAAGAUGCAAGCAACAAGCUGAGCUGAUCUUAUCAUCCCUCAGCACAGUUUUACCAAGAUGAAAGCAAGGACUAUUAAAAUAUCUGCUUGUAAUCUUUAUGUGAGAAGUGGCUGGAACUAGGCAUGAAAUGGUACUUCUUGUGCCUGUGACACAGAACAGCCAAGAACCGUCAGAAGUCAGGGCUGUGGCAGCUCUUGGGGCUGAGCCUCUGCAGGGCAGAACCCGGGGCAGAGUGAUUUCUAAGUCCCAACUCUCCAGAGCGGAAAGGGACUUGGUCUGGGUGUCGGGGUUCCUGGGUCCUGGAAUGAUAAUAACAUGUUUGCUGGGGGCUUAGAGUUGAUGAUUGUACAUGUGUUGUCUCCCAUAUUGUGCUACCCGUAGCAGUCUUCCUCAGGUACCGCAUUUCUACUCAUUUUCUCUGGCUUGUUUUAAAUAUCUUUAGGGAGGGUUUUCUAGCACCUCAAAGCAGGCUUGGUUUCUGUAGCAGUCAUGGUGCAUUGAGAUAGACAUUAGUUGUUAAGCACACCAUUUCACUUCCUUUUUUGGUAACAGCCCCUCCUUUCUUUUUAGGGAAAAUUUUCCCCUUCCCACGUAGUUCUGGUGGGCUGUUCAUCACAGUACCCUUCCCCUCUCCACACUGGUUGCCAGGAAACCAGGGAAAGCCUAUAUGCUCCCUCCCCAGGGCAGUGAUUGGUCCAUCUGUGGUCAUAUGACCUAAGUAGGGCCAAUAAGAGUCUUCUUUGCUAUUGAUCUACAGAUUAGGAGACAGGAAGGGUGUCUUUUGGAUGGGACUGCUAAGUGAGAAGGACUUGCACCUAGGGUUACCAGAGUCUGUCUUUUAUAACACUGUUGAGGAAAACUGUGAGUGUUAGGAGAGACAGAAGCUGGGCAUAAAAGCAGUGAAGAGGAUGGAUGUAAUAUAAUCCACAUACCAUAAACAUCCUUUUAAAGGGUUCAGUGGUUUUUAGGGUAUUCAUGAGUUUAUGCAACAAUCACCAUUAUCUAAUUCCAGAACAUGUCCAUCACCCUAAAAGGGAACCAUGUAACUGUUAGCAGUCACUCCCCCUUCUCUCCUAUCCUAGCCCCUGGAAACCACUAAUCUUUCUGUCUAUGGAUUUGCCUAUUCUGAACAUUUCAUGGUGAUGGAAUCAUAUGAUAUGUGGCCAUUUGUGCCUGCUCUCUUUUCCUUAGCAUGAUGUCUGCACAGUAUAACUAUAUUGUAUCAUAUACUAGUACUUCAUUCUUUUUUUAUGGCCAAACAAUAUUUCAUUGUAAGAAUGUAGCACAUUUUGUUUCACUAUUCAUUGGUUGGUGCAUAUUUGGCUUGUUUUGGGCCAUUAUGAAUAAUGCUGCUAUGAAUUUUUCAUUGAACAUUAUGU